UAUACAUAUAUUCAAACUCGAGAUUCUAGGUAGUCUCGCGCAUGCCAGACUUGACAAUUCAGGAUGUAUCGACAUUAAACAAAUAGAGUAAGAAUAGAAUACUCUAUAAUAUGUCGUCAUACGGGUGCAUACCCCAAAGACUCGCUUGGAUGUCAGAUAUACACCCAUGCAGUAUAUUCACUGCAUAUCCUUCCUAGCCUUCGAUAUAUGUUGUCCACAUUUCUAGCUCAACCCCAUCUCUGAAUCACCGGAAAUUUGCUUUAAUCUGUGAAACUUUGAUCUCUGCAUAGUUGGCUGGAAGCUCUGUUUUCUUAGCAAUUUGGGUCAUAUUUUCUAAUUUGGCUGAAUUUAUCUGCUUGAGCUCCAGAAAUGUCUAUGAAGUCAGAUAAUGGGUUAGAGAGGAAGGUGUUGUAUGACCCACUUUACAGUCCAAGGCCUCUGCAGAAUAACAACAAUAAUAGUCAGGUCAGAAAGCUGUUUGAUGAUUUCAGUGUUGCAAAUCAUGUGCACUUUUUGAGGCCACCGUUGGUCUCAGGGAAUACUAGCACUCUGCUGCAGAAGCAGAACAAGGAAGAAAGCCUUAAAAAAUGAGCUUGGCUUAUUCUUCUUUUGCUGCUCAAAUGGUUGUAAUGACUUUAAGGUGUGGUCAUGGUGUAUUUACAUUGUGUAUAUAAUUCUCAGAAUUGCAUGUAGGAGUCUUUCUAUGUACAUAAGUUUGUCUUCAAACUUUGUGUUACGGCCAGGUGAAAAUAUGUCACUGAUGGGAUUGUGAUAAAUUUUCAAGGCACUUCAGCUUUACAUUAAAUAUAUCAAAGUGUUAAUUA
Molecule: long non-coding RNA, 824 nt
Organism: Cryptomeria japonica (Japanese cedar)
Lineage: Eukaryota; Viridiplantae; Streptophyta; Pinopsida; Cupressales; Cupressaceae
Exons: 2
Source: RefSeq, a predicted model, not a curated record